RNAcentral lists this ribosomal RNA (440 nucleotides) under uncultured bacterium. Its description in RNAcentral is "partial 16S ribosomal RNA". It matches the Rfam family "Bacterial small subunit ribosomal RNA", at positions 338 to 795 of the family's 1533-position model. The record is from RNAcentral.
CCUACGGGUGGCAGCAGUAGGGAAUAUUGCACAAUGGGGGAAACCCUGAUGCAGCAACGCCGCGUGAGUGAAGAAGUUUUUCGGUAUGUAAAACUCUAUCAGCAGAGAAGAAAAUGACGGUACCUGACUAAGCAGCCCCGGCUAACUACGUGCCAGCAGCCGCGGUAAUACGUAGGGGGCAAGCGUUAUCCGGAGUUACUGGGUGUAAAGGGAGCGUAGAUGGCAGCACAAGUCUGGAGUGAAAUGCCGGGGCUUAACCCCGGAACUGCUUUGGAAACUGUGCAGCUAGAGUGCAGGAGAGGUAAGUGGAAUUCCUAGUGUAGCGGUGAAAUGCGUAGAUAUUAGGAGGAACACCAGUGGCGAAGGCGGCUUACUGGACUGUAACUGACGUUGAGGCUCGAAAGCGUGGGGAGCAAACAGGAUUAGAUACCCGUGUAGUC